GACUUUCAGUAGUGGUCUCUCUCUAGUGUAUUCUCUCGUGGUCAAGUAUGUAAGUGGUUAGUGUUCCUUGCCUUAGUUGUUUAUGUGUUCGUUAAACUGUCGGUCGGUCAGUAUACUUGUCGUAAAAUUGAUUGUUCAAGUUGAUCCUUAUUUUAAUUCAAAAGGUAUUCUCUUCUCCAAGUGGUCGACCUACCUGUAUGUACAUAUAUUGGUCAAGGUUCAAGGUCGGAUAAACGUUGAUGACGUUUUGGAUAUACUUUUAAUUCUCUUCUGGAUAUCUUAAUGGGUGAAGAAUCCUCCUGCUGCUGCUGUGAAGGGGUACCUUUGUGUUCCAACCAAAACGGUGCUUCUUUCGAAUACUGGGAUCCUCAAAUAAGAAGUAAGUCAUCAUGGUCAACCCCGGCAGCAAGAAGACGCCCAUCAGCUGCCACGGUCUGUACAACUUCGGUCUCGGCUUGGACUUUAGGCUACGCGGCCUCUACGACGGGUAGACCAACGGCUUGACGCGGACGCGCAGCAGUGGCUACUUCUUGACGACGACGCGGCCCCGGACGACGACGACGACGACGACGACGACACCGACAACACGAACGACGACGACGUAGUACAAUGAGUGUAGUGACUUGUAUGACAGCGGUAACGGAGGUUAAGGUAACGGGACAGGUUUCUUUGGGAGCAGGUAAUGACCCCACUACCGUAACCCGGAGAGAUAUUACCACUGCAGCAGCAACGGGUACAAGAACAACCACCGGCCCUUCCACCACAGCAUGUACAAGUAGUCGAGCCGCUACCUGGAGACCGGCAGGUACCCCUCCCCUAGUAACAUGAACGUCCACAUGGCCACCGACAACGCGCGUAAGGCCAGUUCCUUCGGCAUGGGCAUCAGCGACACACCCGUGACCUGCAACAACGUCCACAUCUGCGCCAACAAGUCGUAGUCGAGGCCGAGCCGCCGGUGGCGCGAGGAGAAGACCUGUAUGAGGUAUAGCGGCCAGAGGAGAAAGUACCCGCGAACGUACUCCUUGAACAGUAAGUCCUACCGGCGCGGCUCCAACUUCCGCCAACCUAGCAGGUACCGGUAGAACACCCACGGCCGGAGUAGCGGGAACGUCAGCAGCCGCUCCAGUUGCAGCAUGAGUGAGCUCGACCGCAACUUACUAUACCGUGACCGCUACGGCGGCCGUCUGCGACCUCCCGCUUGCGGGCCCACGUCGGAGUACUUGUCGAGGAGAAGGACGAAGUGGUGCCGGUCGGUCCACCUCUAGAGGAACCGCCAGUAGAACAGGACCUCCGUAAACCUGACCGCUUGCUCCGCGGCCUAGAAGAGCUACAGGCCGCUGUACACGAACUACUGUCGCCACUCGUGCGACUGGAAGGUCCGGAAGAAGUCCAGUACCCCGAAGAACAUGCCCCCGCCCGGGACCAGGAACCCCUACGGUUCGAGGCCGGUGGUGAGGAGCAGCGGCCUGCCGGUGGUACCUCCUCUCUACGGGAAGAGCUCGCCCUUGGAAGCGACGCCACCUAGCGUCACGACGUACUCGCGGCUCUCGUCGCUCGGGUCGCACCACAGGACGUCGAGGACGUCGCUCACGCCCGACCGCCACGGCCUUCGGUCGAGCGAGAGCCUCGGGCCGUGCCGCAACAGCCGGACCAUGAACCGCUACCGCCGGCCCGGCAAGGCCAGCUUCGCCUGGAAGAGGAAGGUGGUCCGUGCCUCCAACAGUCUCCGCGGCGAGUGCCCGAACGGGAAGAGGCCUUACUACGGCAUCUGCUUGGGGACCCGCGCCGUGUGGAGGUAGUAGAACUCGUACAUGAACUCCUACGGCAGGACGCGCGCGCUGUAGAAGAACGCCGCGCGGACGAGGACGCUGACGGCGCCGAAGUCAGGCAGCGGUCGGGGCGGCGGCGGCCGCCGGACGAGGAACGGCGCCGAGACGACGUCGAGGAACUCCGCGAACUCGAAGUACGCCAGCGCGGUGUACGCCGCGAGGUCGAGGAGCUACAGUAGGUGUAGCAGCAGCGACAGCAGGAGUGGCCGCAGGCCCUUCAACAAGCACCCCCCCAGGUGCUCCAGCGGGAGCGGGUACUGCGUGACCAGCGGCCUCCUACAGACGCCGUAUUCCCUCGGCUUCGGCUCCAAGAACAGCCGCGGCAAGACGACCUCGUCUAGGUGCUUCAACACGUGCGGCCUCUUGCGGUACGGGACUAGGUAGUCGUCGGGUGGAGGGUAGUACCAGUGAGUUCGUCGAGAAAAAGAGGUGUGUUCUUUAAGGUGAAGGAAGGUGAUGAUGAACAUCGACACCACCACAAGUGGACGUGUCUUCGUUCGUUUCUCCGGUCCAAUUAAUGUUCCGAAUAACGAACGACU
RNAcentral lists this ribosomal RNA (2368 nucleotides) under Triticum aestivum (bread wheat). Its description in RNAcentral is "partial small subunit ribosomal RNA". The record is from RNAcentral. Lineage: Eukaryota; Viridiplantae; Streptophyta; Magnoliopsida; Poales; Poaceae.